CACAAAUUUCUUCCCGGGAAGAAGUCUUUUUACACGGUGGGCCUGGCGGCCACCUGUUGGGCGAUAUGGUUGGCGCGCAAUCGUGCCACUUUUGAAAAGAAACAAAUCAAGACUCCUUUUGAGAUUGUGUUUUCUCUGUGCUCCUUUCUGUUAUACUGGGCAGGUCUACAGCAAGGGGAUGCCGCCAGGGAGCUGCGCACGGGAGCGGAGAUGAUCAGGGCUAGCACAAUGCAGCUGAUGAAGAUGUGCGACGCCGCCAAGCAAGCGAUCCAGGGUGCCUGA
RNAcentral lists this ribosomal RNA (282 nucleotides) under Triticum aestivum (bread wheat). RNAcentral describes it as "partial small subunit ribosomal RNA". Lineage: Eukaryota; Viridiplantae; Streptophyta; Magnoliopsida; Poales; Poaceae. The record is from RNAcentral.